RNAcentral lists this unclassified non-coding RNA (385 nucleotides) under uncultured Gemmatimonadaceae bacterium. Its description in RNAcentral is "contains 16S-23S intergenic spacer region". Lineage: Bacteria; Pseudomonadati; Gemmatimonadota; Gemmatimonadia; Gemmatimonadales; Gemmatimonadaceae. The record is from RNAcentral.
UCCGGUUUGGCACCGGCAGUCCCCCGAGAGUCCUCAGCGCUUUGCAGCCUGUUAGCAACACGGGGCGGGGGUUGCGCUCGUUGCGGGACUUAACCCAACAUCUCACGACACGAGCUGACGACAGCCAUGCAGCACCUGUGCUGGAGCUCCGAAGAGGGGCACCUGUUUCCAGGCGCUUUCCCCAGCAUGUCAAGCCUAGGUAAGGUUCUGCGCGUUGCGUCGAAUUAAACCACAUGCUCCACCGCUUGUGCGGGCCCCCGUCAAUUCCUUUGAGUUUCAGCCUUGCGGCCGUACUCCCCAGGCGGGGCACUUAAUGCGUUAGCGCCGGCACCCAGGGGGUCGCUCCCCCAGGCACCUAGUGCCCAUCGUUUACGGCGUGGACUAC